GUGGAAAAAAACCUCCUGGAACAAGGUACCUCUGCCAGCAGAGAGCUGGAAAAUGGAGAGAGCUGCUAAGUCUGUCAUCUCCUGCUCUCAAUGCAGGCUUGGCUCCAGAUGACCAAAUGUAAAAUCUGACAUUGCCUUAUGGAUAUAUGAAACAAUGGAAUUGCUGAACAAUUAAAAAUCUGAGCUGCAGUCUUCCGUAACAAGAGGCGUUCUGAACCUGAGGAGGCAGAGAACGUGGCUGCUGGCUUCUAGG
Molecule: long non-coding RNA, 253 nt
Organism: Athene cunicularia (burrowing owl)
Lineage: Eukaryota; Metazoa; Chordata; Aves; Strigiformes; Strigidae
Exons: 3
Source: RefSeq, a predicted model, not a curated record